UGCAAUCAUCUGUAUUUAUUUCUUGAUGCUUACAAGGUUUAUAUUGUUAGGUUUGGUUACUUUUGGUUUUUAUUUUUAUACUUUGACUUAGCCUUUCAGAAACAAAAGUCUCCUUUUCAUUGCCUUGAAAUAUUAUAAGUGGAGCCAGGUUUAGAAAUAUAAUUUUUCAUAGGAAAAAAGAGUCCACUCGCAAGGAAAAAAGUACUUUGAGAUGAUUUGAAUCCAAUUUGUUCAUACGAGUUCCAAAGGACAGCCUAAUGAUAUGUUACUAUAUUCGAACUAUUAGAAGAUAGUCUGUAUGAAGACCUGAGGUCUUAAAUUCCAUCUUACUAAUAAAUUAUACCUUUAAAAUAAUAGACUUAGGGAAUGAUAACUCUGUGCUUUCUCCAAGGAUUUGAGAUCAUAUCCUUCUCAGUAAUCCAUAUUUUAAAAAUGUUGAAGUAAGGAAGUUGGUCUUUCCUUUUGUCUCGAUAUCAGAUCAAUGACUAUAUUCAAAAUCACUUUUCUUGCCCUUUUUCUCAUGAAUUUCUCCUCUUAUUUUUACUGUACUUGUCAAAUAAGACACUGUUAAAUGGUAUUUUGAUAAAUAUUAGUUCUUCUUCCUUUCUAGAUAUAUGUUAGUAUAUGACCUUUGGGCAAUAUAAUAGUUAUGUGUCUAUAUAAGUACAGACAGGUUGUAACAUAAUCACAUGUUUUUACAAACAAAAUAAUUCUCAAAAAUACUUGGAAUUUAUCUUUUGUGAAAAAUACAAUUUUCAACUCAUUUGAACUAGGUCUUCAGACGAACAUAUUUUUGUUAUAAAGUUAUAUUUUUGUGA
Molecule: long non-coding RNA, 818 nt
Filed under: Bos taurus (domestic cattle)
Lineage: Eukaryota; Metazoa; Chordata; Mammalia; Artiodactyla; Bovidae
Description: long non-coding RNA NONBTAT023606
Source: RNAcentral